GCCAGAAUUGUCUCUUCUAAGUUCAGAAAGGCCACAUUUUGCCGUUCUACUCUAAAGCAGCUACAUUUCUCUACAGAGCACAGAACUGUGUGAAACUGAUGGCUUUAUAAAAAGAAGAGAGACCCGAGCUGAUAUGUUUUCACCCCCAUAUCUUGUGAAGCCCUGAGCUGUCUCCUAACUCUACAGAGAGCUCCCACCAGCAAGAAGGACCUCAUUGAAUGCAGCCUCUCAACCCUGGACUUCUCAGCCUCCAUAACUGCAACCAGCACUUAUUCCACCAUUUUCUGAGGAAAAACAUAGGACUAUGACACAAAGUCUCACCCUUGUCUCACGUGGAGGGGAGUAAGCCAGUGCUAUUCCCUAUCUGAGCUUGGAAUGUGCAAGACAUCAAAGGGAUUGAUGUAUGCACUCUGGCAGAAGGGGAAGAGAUGAGAUGGAAAAGGAUGAGAAUGGAAAAGAAGAGGAAGGAAAACGGAGCAAAAGGAAUUGCUUCUCACAUGAGUACAUACAAAAGAAGAAAAGGACUCAUCUGAGGGGAGGGGUCUGGGGCAAUUUUGAGAACGCUCAACCAUGCUGACUGAAAGAGCAAUGUCAAACAUCAACAACUUUUUUGUUUCUGUAAGCAAACUAUAUCAAGACAAAAUCCAAUACACUUAAAAGUGUUAAGCCCUAAAUCUUUAAUGACAAUGAAACCAUGUGUCACAGCACAAAUAACAUUUUUACUUGCUUAUUUUCAUUGCCUUUGUCUCUAGUUCUCCAACAUGUAAACAUGAAGAGAUUUUAUUAUUCAGGCAAGUAUGUAAAGACCUACGAACUCUUCUUUAUGGAGUUCACCAAAUAUCACUGAGAGUUUGUUGCCAUUACAUUGAAAGUAACACUGGGUAGAUUUGUGUAUUUAUGGUAUAACAGGUUUAGCAAGCAGUUUGAGCUUGAUGGAUAAAGACACGAAAUGGUUUUAUUUUAUUUUUUCCAUUUACUACAUUCAACCUUGCACUGUUAAAUUUCCUUGUUCUCUAUCAUGACAAUAUCUCAGGCACAUUUCAUAAUUUUGCAAUUACUUCUGUUUAUUAAAAAUAUUUUAAGUAUAAACACUUAUUUGUAUAUCUAAUUUAAAUCCAACUUACUGUUCUCCACUCUCACCCCUAAAA
This is a long non-coding RNA of Callithrix jacchus (white-tufted-ear marmoset), 1148 nucleotides long. RefSeq lists it as uncharacterized. The record is from RefSeq and is a predicted model, not a curated record. NCBI's taxonomy places the organism in Eukaryota, Metazoa, Chordata, Mammalia, Primates, Cebidae.